UACGGGGGGUGCGAGCGUUGUCCGGAAUCAUCGGGCGUAAAGCGCGCGUAGGCGGCCCGGUAAGUCCGCUGUAAAAGUCAAAGGCUCAACCUUUGAAUGUCAGUGGAUACUGCCGGGCUAGAGUCCGGAAGAGGCGAGUGGAACUCCUGGUGUAGCGGUGGAAUGCGCAGAUAUCAGGAAGAACACCGACGGCGAAGGCAGCUCGCUGGGACGGUACUGACGCUGAGGCGCGAAAGCGUGGGGAGCGAACAGG
This 253-nucleotide ribosomal RNA is filed under the name uncultured bacterium. Its description in RNAcentral is "partial 16S ribosomal RNA". It matches the Rfam family "Bacterial small subunit ribosomal RNA", at positions 524 to 776 of the family's 1533-position model. The record is from RNAcentral.